UACGGGGGGGGUAAGCGUUGUCCGGAUUUAUUGGGCGUAAAGAGCGUGUAGGCGGCUUUACAGGUCCGUUGUGAAAACUCGAGGCUCAACCUCGAGACGCCGGUGGAAACCGUAAAGCUAGAGUCCGGAAGAGGAGAGUGGAAUUCCUGGUGUAGCGGUGAAAUGCGCAGAUAUCAGGAAGAACACCCGUGGCGAAGGCGGCUCUCUGGGACGGUACUGACGCUGAGACGCGAAAGCGUGGGGAGCGAACAGG
This 253-nucleotide ribosomal RNA is filed under the name uncultured bacterium. RNAcentral's name for it is "partial 16S ribosomal RNA". It matches the Rfam family "Bacterial small subunit ribosomal RNA", at positions 524 to 776 of the family's 1533-position model. The record is from RNAcentral.